CUAGUGUAGGGAUAUAAACGCAUGCUCAUUCUUGUCAACAUAAAUUAGAAAGUUUACUUUUGAAAGAUAAGGGCAGCAGCUAAUUUAUAUAGCUGCAUCGUGAAUUUAAGGGUGAUAUGGGCAGAAACGUACUAGCACAUUCAGUAUUUGGAAGUUUAAGCAACAACGUUAUUCGUUUUUUUUUUUGGGUUUUGCACAUCGCUUCAAUCUCGUUGUUCCGUCUUAUCGUGUUGUUGAAUUCGGGCUUUCUUCGAAGUGAAGUAAGGAGGAAGAAGAUUAUUUCUUGGCAUAUAAGGCUAAAAGAGCGACGAGGCGAAAAGAAAUCACGAAUAGUCGCCGACAGGUACAGAUAGCCGGUUGGUGACCCAUCAGCAUAGGACUUCUACUCAGCUGUAUUGGAGUGCUCCGUUGUUCCGGAGCCUAGACGUUUGGUACAAAUCUUUGAUAUAUGUAUAUGUUUAUACAGGGGUACGGCGGGGCCCUGUCCCGUCAUAUGUCUUCGUCAUUACUCUUAGAGGUUUGUAGACAUAUGUGUGGGUUGUAUAUAGACGUUGAUCAGCUGUGUUAGCAUGAUUUAUGUUUUGGGACGUUCCCAUUCGUAGUGGCAGCCUUGUCGGCUUGCGUAUAUGUAUAUUUUGGGAUGUUGUGUGUAGUGGCAGCCUUGUCGGCUUGCGUAUAUAUAGUUGGGGCGUUCUCACACGUUAUGACAGCCUUGUCGGCUUGUGUUCAACGUUAUCUAUUGAUGUUGUCACUCCUCAGGAGGAAGGUUGCGUUGAUAUAUAAAUAUGUGACAGUU
Long non-coding RNA from Lycium barbarum (goji berry), 796 nucleotides. RefSeq lists it as uncharacterized. The transcript is spliced from 3 exons. Lineage: Eukaryota; Viridiplantae; Streptophyta; Magnoliopsida; Solanales; Solanaceae. The record is from RefSeq and is a predicted model, not a curated record.